RNAcentral lists this ribosomal RNA (488 nucleotides) under uncultured bacterium. RNAcentral describes it as "bacterial SSU rRNA". It matches the Rfam family "Bacterial small subunit ribosomal RNA", at positions 30 to 507 of the family's 1533-position model. The record is from RNAcentral.
AUUGAACGCUGGCGGCAUGCCUAACACAUGCAAGUCGAACGGUAACGCAGAGAGCUUGCUCUUUGGCGAUGAGUGGCGGACGGGUGAGUAAUGCUUAGGAAUCUGCCCAGUAGUGGGGGACAACUCGGGGAAACUCGAGCUAAUACCGCAUACGCCCUACGGGGGAAAGCGGGGGAUCUUCGGACCUCGCGCUAUUGGAUGAGCCUAAGUCGGAUUAGCUUGUUGGUGAGGUAACGGCUCACCAAGGCGACGAUCCGUAGCUGGUCUGAGAGGACGAUCAGCCACACUGGGACUGAGACACGGCCCAGACUCCUACGGGAGGCAGCAGUGGGGAAUAUUGGACAAUGGGGGCAACCCUGAUCCAGCAAUGCCGCGUGUGUGAAGAAGGCCUGCGGGUUGUAAAGCACUUUCAGUAGAGAAGAAAAGCUUACGGUUAAUACCCGUGAGUCUUGACGUAACCUACAGAAGAAGCACCGGCUAACUCCGUG